AAAAUUCAGUUUGGUCCCUCAAUUUAUAGAAAUUGCAGUUUAGUCCCCGAACUUUGGAAAUUUUACAGAUUGGUCCCUGGGGCAUAAAUUGAGGUUCUGGACAGAACUGAGGAUGAUUUAAAGGCAAAAUUCCAGUAUAAUUAAUAUUUUCAGUUUGGUCCUCCAAUUUGACAAAAAGUAUAAUUUGACCCUAAAAAUUUGGUAAAGUUCCAGAAUGGUCCUUGGAGCAUAAUGAUAUAUCCUGGACAGAAUUGAGGAUUAAUUAUGGAUAAAUUUCAGUAUGGUUAUAUAUUUACAGUUCGGUCCUCAAAAUUUGGUAAAAUUACGUUUUGGUCCCUAUUUUGGAAAAUUGUCGUUUUAGUCCCUAAACUUGGGAGAUUAAGCCCGGUUUAUUUUAUGCUUUGGGAUCUUUUGUUUGAUCUGUUUUUGAGUAUAUUUCAUAUAUUUAUUGUAGGUUCUCCUAACGAUCCUUAAUCGGAUUUCCGGGUCUUUUGUCUGACAUUCCUUUAGUUCAGUAUUUUCCGGGUGAGUGGAAUAAUCUUUAAUAUGCAUAUAAUAUAAAUAAAUAUGUAUGUUGAUUAUACAAUGAGUACAACUAGUAAAUUUCUUGAAUAUUUAUAUAUGUUGCUUUAUUUUCCGAGUACUCAUUUAUUCUUGAAUUUGCACUCGCAAUCUGUUAAAGUAAAUUCUAUUUGAUAUGAUAUACGUUUCUUUGAUGAUUAUGUGAAUAUCUGUUAUGCCUUGAUAUGAGACUUGUCAGUACUCCAUGCUAACGGAGAAUAGUUAGCCUGUGUGCACAUAGUAUUCUGUUACCUAGCUGGUGAGAGAGGCAUCAGCCUGUGGUGAUUGAUCAUCCCACAGUGGUCACCGACGGUGUCAUCUGGUCACCUUCGGGUGUCAUCUGAUUCUGACAUGUAAUCCAC
Molecule: long non-coding RNA, 923 nt
Filed under: Populus tremula
Lineage: Eukaryota; Viridiplantae; Streptophyta; Magnoliopsida; Malpighiales; Salicaceae
Description: long non-coding RNA (PTRE_LNC001275)
Source: RNAcentral